Molecule: ribosomal RNA, 429 nt
Filed under: Bacteroidota bacterium
Lineage: Bacteria; Pseudomonadati; Bacteroidota
Description: Bacteroidetes bacterium partial 16S ribosomal RNA
Rfam family: Bacterial small subunit ribosomal RNA
Source: RNAcentral
UAGGGAAUCUUCCGCAAUGGACGCAAGUCUGACGGAGCAACGCCGCGUGAGUGAAGAAGGAUUUCGGUUCGUAAAACUCUGUUGCUAGAGAAGAACAGCGCAUAGAGUAACUGUUAUGCGUGUGACGGUAUCUAACCAGAAAGCCACGGCUAACUACGUGCCAGCAGCCGCGGUAAUACGUAGGUGGCAAGCGUUGUCCGGAUUUAUUGGGCGUAAAGCGAGCGCAGGCGGUCAAUUAAGUCUGAUGUGAAAGCCCCCGGCUCAACCGGGGAGGGUCAUUGGAAACUGGUUGGCUUGAGUGCAGAAGAGGAGAGUGGAAUUCCAUGUGUAGCGGUGAAAUGCGUAGAUAUGUGGAUGAACACCAGUGGCGAAGUCGACUCUCUGGUCUGUAACUGACGCUGAGGCUCGAAAGCGUGGGUAGCAAACAGG